This 497-nucleotide ribosomal RNA is filed under the name uncultured bacterium. RNAcentral describes it as "partial 16S ribosomal RNA". It matches the Rfam family "Bacterial small subunit ribosomal RNA", at positions 28 to 507 of the family's 1533-position model. The record is from RNAcentral.
GAUGAACGCUGGCGGCGUGCCUAAUACAUGCAAGUCGAGCGAACGGACGAGAAGCUUGCUUCUCUGAUGUUAGCGGCGGACGGGUGAGUAACACGUGGAUAACCUACCUAUAAGACUGGGAUAACUUCGGGAAACCGUAGCUAAUACCGGAUAAUAUUUUGAACCGCAUGGUUCAAAAGUGAAAGACGGUCUUGCUGUCACUUAUAGAUGGAUCCGCGCUGCAUUAGCUAGUUGGUAAGGUAACGGCUUACCAAGGCAACGAUGCAUAGCCGACCUGAGAGGGUGAUCAGCCACACUGGAACUGAGACACGGUCCAGACUCCUACGGGAGGCAGCAGUAGGGAAUCUUCCGCAAUGGGCGAAAGCCUUACGGAGCAACGCCGCGUGAGUGAUGGAGGUCUUCGGAUCGUAAAACUCUGUUAUUAGGGAAGAACAUAUGUGUAAGUAACUGUGCACAUCUUGACGGUACCUAAUCAGAAAGCCACGGCUAACUACGUG